UACGGAGGAUGCGAGCGUUAUCCGGAUUUAUUGGGUUUAAAGGGUGCGUAGGCGGGAUGCCAAGUCAGCGGUAAAAAUGCGGUGCUCAACGCCGUCGAGCCGUUGAAACUGGCGUUCUUGAGUGGGCGAGAAGUAGGCGGAAUGCGUGGUGUAGCGGUGAAAUGCAUAGAUAUCACGCAGAACCCCGAUUGCGAAGGCAGCCUUCCGGCGCCCUACUGACGCUGAGGCACGAAAGUGCGGGGAUCGAACAGG
This 252-nucleotide ribosomal RNA is filed under the name uncultured bacterium. Its description in RNAcentral is "partial 16S ribosomal RNA". It matches the Rfam family "Bacterial small subunit ribosomal RNA", at positions 524 to 776 of the family's 1533-position model. The record is from RNAcentral.